RNA transcript from Carassius gibelio (silver crucian carp), 2975 nucleotides. RefSeq lists it as uncharacterized. The record is from RefSeq and is a predicted model, not a curated record. Lineage: Eukaryota; Metazoa; Chordata; Actinopteri; Cypriniformes; Cyprinidae. The transcript has 6 exons.
AGUAUGGCUAAAAUAACAUGCAAACAUUUAUUAUUGUUAUUGAGACCAAAUCAAUUAAAUUGUUCUAACUGAAAAUAACUUCUAAGUAUGGGUCACCAUACUUGGCUGUAUGUCACUUCACUUUCUUUCACUUUAUUUCUCUACACUGAUUUACAGUUUUUCAGCGCUCUCCUCAUCGCGCCGCAGUUCAGCGACAUGACAAAGAAAGAUGAUCCUGAUUGGUCCUCUUUUGUUUAAAAAAAAAAAAAAGUCCCAAAAUGUACACAACUUUAAAAAUAUCACAAAAUGUAAACAAGUUGUCCCAAACUAUGAAUAUGAGAAUAAGAAAAAUGUCAGAUAGUACUUUAUAAUGCCACAUUUCAAAGAGCGCAAAAUCGUAACGUUAAUAAGUUCCUGUCAGGCACUUGUGAGACCUAAACAGCCAUCCAUCUUGAGGGCAUCAACGCCCACUACAGUACGAUUGACAUUUCGCAACAAUAUUGCUGCAUCAGAGUAAACACAUAAAAAUCGUAGGAUUGCACGAGGACUGGAAGGAUGUCGAACAAAGACGAAGGGUGACUGCAACUUUUAUUACAUAAUAGAGUUCCUCUGCUAAAUUGCUAUAUUUUCGUUGGACAUUUAAGGAAAAUUACUGGAAUCGACAGUGACGGUGUUUGCUAUCCACCAUUAGCAAAAUUAAUGAUCAACCAAUUGAGUAGCAAUAUUCAGUCAUUUAUUUAUAUACCAUUUUACUGUGAUGUCUGAGUUAACGUAAUACUUUAUUUUAAAUUAAAGACGUUUUACUAGGACACUCGUAAGAUCAAUCAAUUGCAGAAACUGAUGAUGCUCGUUGACACUAUCAUGUAAAAAUUAUCACGGUGAUGAUAACUUUGAAAACUGAUGUCAUGGUUAUGUUUUGAGCACUGUAUAGGCCUAAAGCAGAAACAUAUUUUAAUCGCAAGUUUUCAUCAUACUGACACUUUGGAUUUUCUCCCAGAGUGCGCUCAUUCAGGGUGUUUGGGGUGAGUAAUUUUAGUUUUUUUUUUAUUUUACUAUCCAUCCAUAAAAAUGCAGUUCAAUAACUAUGUCCAACAACUAUGUUUUUAACUGUAUUAAUGGACUUUUUUUCCUCUAUAGAACAAAACCAAACUUGUAUCAAUUGAGGAAAUUGUGCAGUCAGUUGAAUUCCUGACAAAAAAUGUCAUCAAAUUUGAUGAUAAUGUGACACGAAAAGACGGCUUUUGGGGACAGGUGUGCAGUGCACAUACCAUUCCUAACACCAAAAACAAUCGCUAUAGACUUCUUAGAGCAUUUCGUAAGCACCAGCCAGAUUCGUCCCCAUAUACAGUGCCAUCCGAGGACAGUGGAAGUGCCGCUGGAGAUGAAAGACGCAAGUCUUCUGAACCACAGCAGCCAGAUUCGUCCCCAUAUACAGUGCCAUCCGAGGAAAGUGGAAGUGCUGCUGGAGAGGAAAGAUGUGAGUCUCCAGUCCAAGGCUUCAUGAUUAGUGAAUCAGAUGAAGACGGGUUUGUCAAAAUCUGUGUGCCUAAGAACCCCUCCUUCUUUUUCAUUGACAAGAGUGAGUGGGAUAACCUGAUAAAGAAGAGGAAAAAAACAGGCUUUGCAGGACUUCAAUGGACCACAGUAAUUUCCAAAGGGCUGAGGACAAUACACCCAUACUGUUCAUUUGCUUUUAAAAGACACAGACUGAAAGGAUUGGGUUUGAAACAAACCAGCCCAGAAUUUUCAUGUCUUGCCUACUGCCGAUUUGAAGAUUGUCCAGUCACUGUUACAGUGACUGUGGAUAGUGACAAGGACCUUAAAGCAACAGUUGAAUUUCAGGGUGAACAGUGCAUACAUAAUCGCACUGAACUUAAAAGAAGACCUGUAAGAGCAAAUGACAGAAAAACAUUAGGGAAGGAAUUACAAAAACAGCUCCCACGAGCAAUGUUUCUAGAGAACAUAGCCAAAAUACCUGAGGAUGUAAUGGAGUCCGGCUGUAGAGAUGUUGCUCCGAGUCGCAAUGUCUUGAAAAACAUUUCAUGGGAAGCCCGUAAGUCAAGCCGCCAACACAGCAAUGAAAUAAUCAGCCUUCAAAUAAUGCUACAAAAGAGAACAAAGAGUCCAGAUGAGGUACUCCAGAAAGUGAUGCUACACCCAAAAGGGGUCCUGCUGUGGUCAAAAAGGAGUAUACACAUUUAUCAGGAACGAUGCCAGGAGGACAUUAUUUAUCUAGAUGCGACUGGAAGCAUAAUGAGGAGAGAGACAGGAUCACCUCCAUUCUAUGUAUAUGAGUUGGUGGUCAGAAAUCCACACAAAACCUCAUCUCCAUUUCCUGUUGCCACGUACCUUACUUGCGACCACACCACAGCCUCAGUUUUGUAUUUUCUUGAGGCAUUUCUAACCGACGUGGCAAGGUGGUUUGGAAGGAAGGGCAUGCGGUCACCUGUCAUGGUCAUUUGUGAUGGGUCAAUUGUGUUAAUGCAGGCUAUAUGCAUGGCAUUUGCCAAAAAAAACCUGACACAAUAAACCACUAUUACAACAUUGCAAGUGGAAAAGGGAAACCGGAAGACUUUGAUGUGCCAAUUCUGCAUAGAUGCCUCAGCCAUGUGAUGAAGAAUGCAAAGGAAAUGUGCAGAAAGUAUGCAACAAACCACUACCACCUGGCAAUGCAUGUCUUUGGUGCCCUCACAACUGCAAGCACUUUAAAAGAACUGGAUGACAUGGUUCAAAGUGCUACAGUUGUCUUCUCCAGUCCAUGCUGUGGUGCAAGUGUUGAGAAGCACUUCAAGAACCUGCAAUCGUGGCUGCAGAAAAAAGGGACUCCAUUGGAUGAGACUACCAAGUCUAGAGGUGAUGCAGAGGACUUGAAGGAUAUUACAGGAAGCAACAGAUUUGCAAAACGUUGCAAUGCAAUUAUUUCUAAUGCCCCACUGGACAAGCAUGGAGAGGUCAAUGUGUACCAAUGCAAAGGGCUUAUUGAUCACCUCAAGAAA